RNAcentral lists this ribosomal RNA (254 nucleotides) under uncultured bacterium. Its description in RNAcentral is "partial 16S ribosomal RNA". It matches the Rfam family "Bacterial small subunit ribosomal RNA", at positions 524 to 776 of the family's 1533-position model. The record is from RNAcentral.
UACGGAGGGUGCGAGCGUUGUCCGGAAUCACUGGGCGUAAAGGGCGCGUAGGCGGCCUGGCAAGUCGGUGGUGAAAGCCCGUGGCUCAACUACGGGUCGGCCACCGAUACUGCUAUGGCUCGAGUUUGGUAGAGGCAGAUGGAAUUCCGGGUGUAGCGGUGGAAUGCGUAGAGAUCCGGAAGAACACCGGUGGCGAAGGCGGUCUGCUGGGCCAAGACUGACGCUGAGGCGCGACAGCGUGGGGAGCAAACAGG